GGAAAUAGUUUUGUUUUCCCUCGAAUCUCAAUGUUUCCCUCGACUUCAUCUAGGGAAACAUUGAGAUUCUUGGGAAAACAAAACUAUUUCCCUCGGGU
This 98-nucleotide microRNA precursor is filed under the name Paramuricea clavata. The record is from RNAcentral. Lineage: Eukaryota; Metazoa; Cnidaria; Anthozoa; Malacalcyonacea; Plexauridae.